Long non-coding RNA from Eleginops maclovinus (Patagonian blennie), 1864 nucleotides. RefSeq lists it as uncharacterized. The transcript has 4 exons. The record is from RefSeq and is a predicted model, not a curated record. NCBI's taxonomy places the organism in Eukaryota, Metazoa, Chordata, Actinopteri, Perciformes, Eleginopidae.
UGCAAUAAGCAUGAUCUGCUAGCAAACCAUCAAUACAGUUUGUAGGCUCUCCAACAACUACAAAUAUUUAGCUUCUGACAUAAGAAAUACUCAAAAUGAACCUAAUAGCUGUAACAUGCUAACACAAUCAUAAGCUAGUAAAGACUGUGUUUAUCAGCUAGCUACGCGUUAGCUAAGAUAAGAUAAAAAGGGAAAACAGGGGAACACAGCUGGAGUCAGGCUAAUGAAAUAAGAGUGCAUUCGCUAGCUCAGGUAUAUUUCCAGGCAAGAUUCAUAGAAACGUACCUUAUAGUUUGGGUCGGAUAGCUGCUCACUCAACGAGAAAAAAAACAGGAAGUAACAGCAAUGAUCUUAAUGCAUUCGUUUGACAGCUCCUCGCUUUGGCGUGGCUCGCGAUAACGUCACGUCGCACCGUUUCCUGGUGAACCCCAAAGCCUCGAUGCCAACGCGCCUAGAUGCUAACAAGCUAACAAGCAAACGAUACAUUGGCAGGCUCGGAUCAUGUGAUCUUGUCAGACAGAAACAACCAACAAGCACUGAGGUAACCUCCAGGUACAUACAACACCUCCGUUCUUAUUCCGCUGGAAAUUAAUCAUUUAGCUUUAAGAAAAGUUUAUAGAGCAUCUUUUGUGUCAUUUGUCAAACAAAGGGACCAAACUGUUCCUAACAGCCCACAGCAGGUUACAGUGAGGAUCUCCGUCUGCCAUGCCUGGUCUCUGCUUCGGCUCUGCUCCCAUACAGGGUAAGCGUUGUUAUCCAGCAGCACCUUGAGAGAUCCCACAUUCUGGCCCACCACACGGAAGUCGAAGGUGAGGCAGAAGCUGCCCUGCUGGGCCCGGUCACUGAGGAGCAGCUUCAGCUUGGCUAUAUCCUCUGGUUCUCCUUGGAGCCCCCUCAUGGACAUGUAGUACUCAGCGUCUGAAAAAGAAAUUCCUCCACCUGUUCCUGCCCAGGGCCAACGUAGACCUCUCCAUCAUAGUCGAAAGGCUGCUCGCGGAUCCUAGGAGGCGGCGUUGCUACUGGCUCGGGGAUAAGAUUUCUGAUAUCCUGGUUGUCCAGUGUUCCUCCCAGAAGCUCAGGCCUCACUUGGGAGUCUGGGAUGGCUGCGGGGAGGAAGAGGAAACAGAUGAGACAUGUGGAACCUCAAUCAUGAGUGGAAAAGACAGUAUUUUACCAGAACUCAGAUGUGUUUGUCAUCAUGUAUUUUGCAGCUGCUGUACUUGUCCUUCUCCAUGCAGUUGAAGCACUUCAGCAGCAUUCAUGUCACAUAGCUUAGAUCAUUGCUUCAUGUGCACAAGCAUUUUAUCGAAAAAAUUCUAAAUGCUCAUGCUGAUGUUUCCAGGUCUCAUAUCAAGCUGUGUGUGAAGACGACAUACAACAUUUCCAGCCAUGAGCAGGCAGAGAGAUGCGGAAGGCGCUCUGAAGAGUAAGGAGGCAAGAGGAGGGAGUGCAUGGGGUUUCAAGCAGGGAGGGAUCAGCGGAAGCAGAGUCUUGGAUUUCACAUAAUCUCACCAUUUAGGAAAUCAUCUGCACUGCCUUUGUCUCCAUCCCACGACCUCUGAUAAAACGGCUUAACUACAAGAAAUAAAUGCAUCUUUGAUUCAUGCUGAAAACCCUUGCCUAUUCUCUUUUUCAGUUGGCUACACGAGGCUUCACCUGUUAUAAUCUGGAUCUGGUUUAAAGAGCACACAGCUCAAUCUGUGAUUCCCCUUCUUCUCCAGAUGACUGGCUACCGUACAAAUCUCUUAUUUACACAGCCAUAGCAACACUCCAGCCUCCUGCCGUAGCGACACACACCUGGUUGGUUUCCAGUAAGGACUUGUCGGUAGUGCCUUUGUAGAACAAGAGACAACCGGAAGGUAAG